This 478-nucleotide ribosomal RNA is filed under the name uncultured bacterium. Its description in RNAcentral is "partial 16S ribosomal RNA". It matches the Rfam family "Bacterial small subunit ribosomal RNA", at positions 28 to 523 of the family's 1533-position model. The record is from RNAcentral.
GACGAACGCUGGCGGCGUGCUUAACACAUGCAAGUCGAACGGUAAGGCCCUUCGGGGUACACGAGUGGCGAACGGGUGAGUAACACGUGGGUGAUCUGCCCUGCACUUCGGGAUAAGCCUGGGAAACUGGGUCUAAUACCGGAUAGGACCACUGCCUGCAUGGGUGGUGGUGGAAAGCUUUUGCGGUGUGGGGUGGGCCCGCGGCCUAUCAGCUUGUUGGUGGGGUGAUGGCCUACCAAGGCGACGACGGGUGGCCGGCCUGAGAGGGUGACCGGCCACACUGGGACUGAGAGACGGCCCAGACUCCUACGGGAGGCAGCAGUGGGGAAUAUUGCACAAUGGGGGCAAGCCUGAUGCAGCGACGCGGCGUGAGGGAUGACGGCCUUCGGGUUGUAAACCUCUUUCAGCACCGACGAAGCGCAAGUGACGGUAGGUGCAGAAGAAGGACCGGCCAACUACGUGCCAGCCGCCGCCGUAA